ACCUGCUUUAUAAUAUAAAAGACAUGAAAAUCUCACUUUUUAUAAUAUGGGACCUUUAAGUUACACUUACUGCAUAUGUACAGUAGUAGUAAUAGUAAAAUAUGUUUAUAUGUUUUUAUACUCAAACUUAAAAACUCAAAUAUAAUGUAAUCUAUAAAAACAUUUACCAAAAAUAAGGUUUACAUCCCAACAAAACACAAAGUUAGAUAUGUAAAGUGCUCUACAUACAGAACAAAUAAUAGAAAAAUGUUCUGUACACAGCAAAACAUCAGGCUGCAUCCUGUCUUCUGGGGCCUGAAUCUCAGAGAUUAUGGCUCUCCUUGAUCUUGCUCUUCCUCUUCCUCCUCCUCACUCUCUCCCUCCUCUUGCUACGCCUCUCCCUCCUAUGUUGACAUCCACUGCUCCACGACAGCAGAGGCCUGUACUAUGAAGCAGGAUUUGCGGUUAUCGAGAUGCAGACACACAGAGACAUAAACACCGCCAUUAAGUCUAUCUGACCAUUAUCAGACAGCCCAGUCACAACAGCCCGUCUUAUCUGCAUCCUCCAUCAGCUCCAUACAGAGGCCCCAUGCUGGAGAAGCCCGAUGCCGACGUGGAGGGCAGCGUCUGGAGGGAGUAGAGCAGCCGUCUCCUUGGUCGGUCAGGGAGGGUGGAUAGAGGGGGCGAAUGCUGGGGCCUUAUCGUUCCUGUGAUCCAGUGCUCGCAGACUGAGACGCUUUUACUGGAAUCCACAACAGAUCAACAAUAGGACUCUGACUAAUCUCAGCUCUUGUACGAUGACAAGAAAAAUACGUUUCAGUAUGAUAAAAAACAUGACUUUGUAACACUGUGGGUGUUGAACGCAGGCUCAGCAUAAUUUUCCAGGC
Molecule: long non-coding RNA, 866 nt
Organism: Sebastes umbrosus (honeycomb rockfish)
Lineage: Eukaryota; Metazoa; Chordata; Actinopteri; Perciformes; Sebastidae
Exons: 2
Source: RefSeq, a predicted model, not a curated record